Molecule: ribosomal RNA, 383 nt
Filed under: uncultured bacterium
Lineage: Bacteria
Description: bacterial SSU rRNA
Rfam family: Bacterial small subunit ribosomal RNA
Source: RNAcentral
GACGAACGCUGGCGGCGUGCUUAACACAUGCAAGUCGAGCGGUAAGGCCCUUUCGGGGGUACACGAGCGGCGAACGGGUGAGUAACACGUGGGUGACCUGCCCUCAGCUCUGGGAUAAGCCUGGGAAACUGGGUCUAAUACCGGAUAUGACUCCAUGACGCAUGUUGUGGGGUGGAAAGCCUUGUGCGGCUGGGGAUGGGCCCGCGGCCUAUCAGCUUGUUGGUGGGGUGAUGGCCUACCAAGGCGACGACGGGUAGCCGGCCUGAGAGGGCGACCGGCCACACUGGGACUGAGACACGGCCCAGACUCCUACGGGAGGCAGCAGUGGGGAAUCUUGCGCAAUGGGCGAAAGCCUGACGCAGCGACGCCGCGUGAGGGAUGAC